AUACGUAGGUGACAAGCGUUAUCCGGAUUUACUGGGCGUAAAGGGCGUGUAGGCGGUCUUGCAAGUCAGAAGUGAAAUUCCUGAGCUCAACUCGGGCGCUGCUUCUGAAACUGCAGGACUUGAGUGCUGGAGGGGAUAGCGGAAUUCCUAGUGGAGCGGUAAAAUGCGCAUAUAUUAGGAAGAACACCGGUGGCGAAGGCGGUUAUCUGAACAUGAACUGAGUCUGAGUCGCCAAAGCUUGGAGAGCUAACAGGAUUAGAUACCCGGGGAGCCCACGCCGUGAACGAUGAAUACUAGGUGUAGGGGGGAUCGACGCCCUCUGCGCGGCAGGUAACACAAUAAGGAGUCAGCCUGGGGAGUACGGCCGCAAGGUGGAAGCUCAAAUGAAUUGACGGGG
RNAcentral lists this ribosomal RNA (397 nucleotides) under uncultured bacterium. RNAcentral describes it as "partial 16S ribosomal RNA". It matches the Rfam family "Bacterial small subunit ribosomal RNA", at positions 523 to 918 of the family's 1533-position model. The record is from RNAcentral.